UUAAAAAAUUAACUUAUGAGUAUGGAAAGCUCUAUAUUCAUAAGAGUAUAAUAACCCUACUAUAUAUAUGAGUCCAACUACUAUACUCUUAUGAAUACGAUCACCCUUGUACUCAUAAGUCGUUUGCGAUGAUAGAGCUUCUGAAUCGAUAAUUUAUAACGUUAAACAUUAUCUAGAGCAUUUAAAAUUUUUAGAAAUCAAAUUUCAUUAUUUUUUGACAUCAUUUACUUUAUGAUCAAAAGGUUAUAAAAUUGACAAUUUCCAACGGCCGGUAUGGAAUACCCGUUAGUUUAACUGUGUAAAUGAAAUGAAAUUGAUUGAAUUUUUAAUAGAAAAUUUUAUUCACUACCUAAUAAGGAUCAAUAACUCCCAUCUUUUUUUUUUGAGGAGAAACACGCCGUAAGGCGAAUUUAUUUAUCAAUCGGU
Molecule: long non-coding RNA, 426 nt
Filed under: Ananas comosus (pineapple)
Lineage: Eukaryota; Viridiplantae; Streptophyta; Magnoliopsida; Poales; Bromeliaceae
Description: long non-coding RNA (ACOM_LNC010542)
Source: RNAcentral